AGAAUCAACGCUGGCGGCGUGCCUAACACAUGCAAGUCGAACGAGAAAGUGGAGCAAUCCAUGAGUAAAGUGGCGCACGGGUGAGUAACACGUGACUAACCUACCCUUGAGUGGGGGAUAACCUAGAGAAAUCUGGGCUAAUACCGCAUAAUACCUUCGGGUCAAAGGAGCAAUUCGCUUAAGGAGGGGGUCGCGGCCGAUUAGUUAGUUGGCGGGGUAAUGGCCCACCAAGACUGUGAUCGGUAUCCGGCCUGAGAGGGCGCGACGGAACGACGACCUGGAACUGAAACACGGUCCAGACUCCUACGGGAGGCAGCAGUGGGGAAUUUGCGCAAUGGGGGAAACCCUGACGCAGCAACGCCGCGUGGAGGAUGAAGGCCUUCGGGUUGUAAACCCCUUUCAGCAGGGACGAAGCGAAAGUGACGGUACCUGCAGAAGAAGCGCCGGCUAACUACGUGCCAGCAGCCGC
Molecule: ribosomal RNA, 469 nt
Filed under: uncultured bacterium
Lineage: Bacteria
Description: SSU rRNA
Rfam family: Bacterial small subunit ribosomal RNA
Source: RNAcentral